GUCAUUGGGUGGCCGUAGGUUACUAAAGUUGGUGACUUUUGAUAAGGUGAAGGUUGCAGUAGGCUUAUUAAAUGGGGACCAGGCCAGCUAGAGGACUUUAGGGGAAGGCAGCUCUGCCGCGGGGCCAGCUUCAUCCGUCCUGCAGGAGCUUGUCUUCCAUGACUGUAGCGGCCCAGGCCAGCUUUGCUUUAUUUUCAGAGACUCGAUGUGGGUAUCUUAGAAAAGGAUUGUCCUUCCUCGGGCCCGGUCAUGCACCCAGUCAAUCUAAGUGUGUGGUGACUCCUUUGACACCAUUGGAUGAGGACUUGAGGGUGAAAAGUAAAGGUUUCCAAAGAGAUUCUGAAUGGAAAACAGGACUAUUCUGAAGAGACUCACGAACCCUUUUCUUUCUUGCUUGUGGAAUCCAUCCAUGUCCUCAAAGAGAGCCCAGGACCCACUAGGUCUAGGUACCGGGCCACCUUCGGAUUAGUUGCAGUUGGGUUUAUUUUUGCUUCCCCCUUUGGCCCUCUUUCCCACCAUUUGUCAUUUUCGCAGGCUUUCAUGACAUACAUCUUGUGGAAUGUUGGCUAUGCACAGAGCGUGAAGGAUUCAAACGCUCCCAUUUCAGGCAGAUUGGCCAACGAAAGCAGCGGAGGUUGGUGGAGAUCGGGGAGAUAUGUCUGGAAGAGGCAGGGGUAGAGGAAGCCUGGAAAGAACACAGGAUGUAUGAAAACGACAGCUUUGAGGCUGCUCCACCUCUGCAAGUUUAGCCAAGGGUGAUUGCAAUUGGCUGAUGAUCGCCAGGGCAGACCUCUUCCUGGAAUCAGUUCAGCUCUUAGAACCCCCCAUGGGUGGCUGAUGGACAAAGCAAUAAAGCUGACUGCAUCCUGCUCCUUCCCAUGCCGUGGGGCCCUUUGCUGCUGGGGACCUGAAAGUAUUACAAAGCUCCCUGUGGAAGAGGUAGAGUCAGCAAUGGAAGCAGUUUGGGUCUGGAUGUGGAAGCUGCCUGCCCACUCGGCACACCCACGUUGGACGAUUAGAUCAGCAAACAGCGGCUUAGAGUGUGAGUAAAUAUUUCCAAAGUACAACAGUCGGUGGUGAGCUUGUGAAGGAAUCGUGGCUUUCAAACUCUGAGACUAAUGCUUCUUCAGUUCACCAGGCUACGUCACCUGCUACCUGAGAGCAGUCAUUGUGGAAGCCUUCCCAUCUGCCUCUUGGUAAGGACUCUGAGGACCAAGACAAAGCUGUCCCCUGACCAAGGACAUUAUGUCACAUCUAGAAGGGAAGUCAACUGGGUCUUGAAUUAGGCUACCAGACUGGAACUCCAGCUCCGCUGCUCACCAGCCGUGUGACUCAGCACACAUUUAUGAGACUUUUUGUGUCUGUUUCCUAAUCCUUAAAAAAGGGGAUAACACUCAAGCCCAACUCACAGGGUUUUGUGAAUAUUAAAGGAAGUAGAAAAUGUUUGCUCAGUGCCAAAAAAAAAAAAAAGUCAAUGUGUGUAUACGUUUUCUCAUUCUAUUUGGAGCUAAUAUUAUAUUUAGUUACUAAUUUCUUUAGCGUAAAACCACCCAGAAUGAAACACGGAAGUUCUUAUGAAAGGCAAGAGUGAACACCUGUGAGCAUGAGUAUUCAUACACCAAAGAAGAGUUUUCAUACCAUACUUGUAACAUACCAAAGAAGACUGGAUAAUCCAAGAGAACAUCAAGAAAUGGCUCAUCAUAUUUGUUUUUCAAACAAAUGGAGAUUCAGAAUUAAGAAAUGAGACAAGAACAAAGAUGAAAGAUUAUACUCAAUUGCUGUGAGGUCCAGUUCUCUAUUAGUAACUAGCUAUCUCAGAGUUAACCAAGGAGAAGGAACCAGACUAAGGCAACCCGUCUUUGCUACAGUUGAUUCCAUUACUCCCAUUGCCCCUAGCAUUUUUUUUUAAAGGGGAUUUUUUUAACAAGACUCAAUUCUAUUAAAAAUUGGGUGUCAUUUGGCCUUAAAAAUAAGCUAUGAAAUGCCCUCCCCCAAGCCAGAAAAAAAAUUAGCCAUCUCAUAAGAGCAUUCUUUUAAAAAGUUAAAUAAGUUUCUUACUGAUUAAUUUUUUAUGAACAUUUAAAAUUUUCCAUUAUGUAAAGGUCUAAAGUCUUUUGCCAAGAGCAAUGAGAAUUAUGGGAAAAAAAAAAAAAAAAAAAACCUCAACAACACACACCUUGGUAUAAAUUCCAUUCAUUUCUAUGCAAUCAAAACACAUACGAGCUGUCCUUGUACCAACAGAAAGCAUACUGAUGCAGCGAAACCAUCCUGGGUAGGUCAAAACAGGACCUUUGCCGAACAACUCAGACAAUUCAAAACUUCUGGACACUGAAGCUUGUUUUUCUCUCUGAUGUUCCUUCGAGGGGUUCAGCCUCUGACUCUACUCCCUCCGCAAGCCCUGCAACCUCAGGGGCAUGGUAUUCAGCAUUUCACCUUCGGGGUGAUCUCACCCCUUCCUGGUUCAGGGGGCGGAGGGAGGGAUUCAUGAAAAUAUGGGUCAGCCCUUCCCCAUCUCCGCUGGGGCCGUGUUGUCUUGGUUUUGAUCAUUUCCCCCAAAUUAAGAUUUCUGCAUAAAACCCCCACGUCUGUGUCUGGCUGGCAGUUUUAUGGCUGACCAAAUUGUGCACUGGCCGAGGUUCUGGUUGGCUGAAUGUUGACACAGGCUGUUAAUCAGAUGGGGCGGGGGGAUGAUGUGGGGGCUGCCUGUGAGCUGGAGCAGCCCUGUUUUGCUGUCGUGUGCAGGGGCCUGCACUUUGUUACUACAAAUUACAUAAUGACACGUUACAUUUCAAAGUGUAUUUUUACUUCAGGGAAAAUUAAACCAAUAAACAAACAACCCUGGUGGAAAAAAAGAAAAAAAAAAAAAAAAGAUCCCUGGUUUCCAGAUCUUCCUCUUCGAAAAGGUUCUUAAUUAAAGUGUAGCUAUAAACAAAUCUUUGUUUUAUUGAAAAGAGAGCAACUGCAUAUAAAAGCUAUUUUUAAAAAUUAGCAUUUGAACGUUUGGUGGACUAGGGUCUGGCCCGUAUUAUGUGUUUUAUGAUCUGUUCAAAAUAAAAAGGCAAGCUUGUGCAGUGA
Sus scrofa (pig) is the source of this 3075-nucleotide long non-coding RNA. RefSeq lists it as uncharacterized. The record is from RefSeq and is a predicted model, not a curated record. NCBI's taxonomy places the organism in Eukaryota, Metazoa, Chordata, Mammalia, Artiodactyla, Suidae.